GUACGAUUUCCCGGCUAACGGUUACUAGCACAGCUUAUAACUGCUCAACCUUGCGGCGCGUCGGUGCAUUUUAGAUGCUGGUGAUGAAGUAUACCAAGUGAAUAGGGGGGUUGGGCUGAAGAGACGAUUUGCCCAGUGUGGUGAGGGUGCGCUGGAACUCCCCCGCCAGCCACUUGGUUUUGUCCACUCCCAUGGAACCGAUGCUGGAGAAUUGUCCCACCACAGGCCACUGGUCCUCGCCAGGGAUGCAGGUGGUCUGCUCGUAAAGCAACUGCAAACCGGGGGAGGGGUGGCCCCAACGCUCCAUGUCUGGCCCCACAUAUCUGCCAGGAGUGGAGCCCACCAGAUACACCCUGACCACACAUAGACUGGAUAAACGUCAUUUUUCCUAUAAUAUCGGUCUCUGCGUUACCAGAGAGCGUCGGCGUUUCACACAUUCAUGUGAUGACAAAAAUACGCAGAACCCUGUGUA
This is a long non-coding RNA of Hippocampus comes (tiger tail seahorse), 472 nucleotides long. RefSeq lists it as uncharacterized. The transcript is spliced from 3 exons. The record is from RefSeq and is a predicted model, not a curated record. Lineage: Eukaryota; Metazoa; Chordata; Actinopteri; Syngnathiformes; Syngnathidae.